AUGGAAUAGACAUCAUAAGGAGGUAUUAAGUGGUCAUGGAUUCAGCACAAGUGCACAUCACAAUCAACUUUGUUUGUGGAGAUAUCCAUCUAUGACUAAAGUGGGUGCCUUGGAACGUCACACUUCUAGACUACUUGAUAUAUCAGAGUCCAGAUGGUUUAACAGUUGUGUCAACUGGAGCAAAUGAAACUCUUCGCUUUCGGAAUGUAUUUGGGCCACCUAGCUUAUUUCUUCUACGUUGGAAGCUACGCUACUAUGAGUCAAACCCAGAGACGCUACGAGGAGUCAAACCCAGGGAAUGUUUUU
Vigna radiata var. radiata (mung bean) is the source of this 306-nucleotide long non-coding RNA. RefSeq lists it as uncharacterized. The transcript has 3 exons. Lineage: Eukaryota; Viridiplantae; Streptophyta; Magnoliopsida; Fabales; Fabaceae. The record is from RefSeq and is a predicted model, not a curated record.